GAUGAACGCUGGCGGCGUGCCUAAUACAUGCAAGUCGAGCGAACGGACGAGAAGCUUGCUUCUCUGAUGUUAGCGGCGGACGGGUGAGUAACACGUGGAUAACCUACCUAUAAGACUGGGUUAACUUCGGGAAACCGGAGCUAAUACCGGAUAAUAUUUUGAACCGCAUGGUUCAAAAGUGAAAGACGGUCUUGCUGUCACUUAUAGAUGGAUCCGCGCUGCAUUAGCUAGUUGGUAAGGUAACGGCUUACCAAGGCAACGAUGCAUAGCCGACCUGAGAGGGUGAUCGGCCACACUGGAACUGAGACACGGUCCAGACUCCUACGGGAGGCAGCAGUAGGGAAUCUUCCGCAAUGGGCGAAAGCCUGACGGAGCAACGCCGCGUGAGUGAUGAAGGUCUUCGGAUCGUAAAACUCUGUUAUUAGGGAAGAACAUAUGUGUAAGUAACUGUGCACAUCUUGACGGUACCUAAUCAGAAAGCCACGGCUAACUACGUG
This 497-nucleotide ribosomal RNA is filed under the name uncultured bacterium. RNAcentral describes it as "partial 16S ribosomal RNA". It matches the Rfam family "Bacterial small subunit ribosomal RNA", at positions 28 to 507 of the family's 1533-position model. The record is from RNAcentral.